UUGAGAACGGGGUGGGGGUGGGGAGGCGUGUGGCCGGUCCCUUUUUUGACAGAUUUCAAGACAACCUCCCUGCUCCUGUUCUCUCUGUUACCAUACUCGCUCAUCUGUUCGCGGGCUGCUAAAGUAGUUAUGUGGCGUGGCCUCUUAACCUCAUUUCUGCAGCGGACUAGCCAGGCUUAGGAGGCAGCACUUUUUGAGGGUCCCUCCCUUUAUGCCACGUGUCCUCAAAAUUACAGAAAUCCUCGGGCAUCUACUCUAGCUCCUGAUCGCUCUCUCUCGAGACAGAAAAUGAAUCCAGAGUCCCUGUUCAAAGCAUCCUGGUAUUAUAAUUGUGUGCAAUGGCCUAUGGCAAUCUGGUGUCUGGGGAAUGCAAAGAAAGACUUCGAAAUCUUCCAGAAAAAAGACCUCUUACUGCAAGAUCCAGGGCUGCAGACUUGGAUUGAAAUAUAAUUUUAAAAGGGAUGUCUCUCUCCAGAGACAAAGAGGAAGAAUUUUAUGCAGAAUGGCUUCCCUCCUGCCCAGAUACCAUACAAGAAGAUUCAGAGAAGAUUUCAUUAUAUCUCACCAUGGACUAACUUACAGAACUCUUAACUCCCCUGUAUAUAAUUUUGGAGAAUCCACAGGACCCAUAUGGACUGAAACACUGGACCCUUUUGGUUUAGUUUUGUUUAAAACCCAGAGAGGUAAAAAUGUAACAUCCUUUGUGUUAAUGUAUCACAUUGCUGCUGACUGAAUAUGCAUGGAGUAACCAAUAAAUGACCUAUUUUAAAAAAUAAUCAAUAUCAUCUUUAGAAAAAUUGGCUGAUAGGGGUACAAAACCAGCUGUACUGAAUAGUGCAGUUCAGUAUCAAGUUCUCAGACAGCAUUUUUUUUAUUUGGGGGGGGGGUAUAAGAAUGUUAAAUAUGGCUAUUCCUCUGAUAGCCCAUCAUUAGUUCACCAGACACAAGUUUAGAUUCCAUUUCAGAGCAGUUGAUGCAUUCACAGGCACAGAAGUCAUCACAACGCAGUAUCUGAGAGCAGAAUGAACCGAACAGACUUUGGCUAGUGGUCAGAACUUGUAUCUUAGAAUGCACUGUAUAAGUCAAAAUGUUCCAAUGACACUUCAUUAGGAACACUGCCUAGAAGGAUUUUUUUUUAAUUGCUUGUGGUAGGGCCAGGCAUGGUCCAAGCAGCUGGAGUCCCCAACUGAGCAGAGAAACCUUCUCUGAACUUUCAGGUUUAUUUUAUAGCUUUUUUUUCUAGUGCAACUGAAGUAAACCCCAGGAUACCCAUGCCACUGUCUGAAAUGAAAAAUGAAAACUCUGAAGAAAGAACUUGAAUAAUACUAACUGAAGUUUUUACCUAGGGUUUGUAGCAUAUUGGAUUAAAUGAUUUCAUUGCAUAUUCCAUAGUACAGAAAUUAGAUAAGAGAAACAGUAAUAAUAAAAGUAUAAAGGGGAUAAGUUGUGCAUGUGUUUGGAUAUUUGUGUCUCUUUACUGACUAUUUUAGGUUAGAUUUCCUUUGAUUUUUUAUGUCUAUUUUUGUACUAAUUUUACUAAAUUUUUCAAAGGCCUUCAAGACGUAGGGAACUCUAGAAAUAAACAUUUUUUGUUAUUACAGAAAUUCAAGGGCCACAUGCUCUUCUCCUGUGGCUUCACCUCGGAAAUGGAAAAUCUGCUCAAAAACCUUUAGUAACUUACUGAAUUUCUACCACAAGUCCCUUGCAUGUUACCUAGAAAUAGCUUGUACUAAGCUGAUGCCUAUUGCAGAUCAUGAGAUCCGUUUCCACCUAUAAAUAGGGAAGUCGGCACAUCAGAGGCAACUUGACAGACUGGCACAACUCUAAUUCUCCUCCCAUCCCUAAAGCAGCCAGUGAAAGCCUUGCUGUGCUGAACAUUUCUUGGUAAAGAAAGCAAACAGGUGAAAGGCUCGGCUCCAUUUGAAAGACGUUAAAUGUAAGAUCAUCCUCAUGUUAAUAUUGCUAAUGCCUGCAGUUUCCCAAUCAGACCCCUCCCUCUGUUUGAUGAAGGGAUUGGGUGAAUGACUAAAUGGAUACCCUCUGAACUCCUGUAUCAACUUGGGCUGUUGGAGAAUGCAGUGAGAAGAAAUAGUUAUGCCCCCUUGCAAUGCUGAGACUUGUUUAUGGUAUAGGUAUAUCGUUUUUUUCUCCAAUACUGAUUAUAGCAAUUGCAAUGUUUUAUUAUUUUAUUUCCUUCCCAGUGCAGGAAGCAGGGCAAGAAUUAUUUUCAUGAGGAAAAGGAGAUUUCAGUGAAGAUUUACAGUCAAGCAGGUGAAAGUUGGAAAGCAAAAUAUUCCUCGUUCCUGCUAGUAAUGACUCAAGAACCAAAAUCAGAGGUGAAUAAAGGCUUGUGUGCGAUGAGCUUGUUUCGCAUGUCCAUCUCUGUGGCAAUCCACAAAGGCUAUUCAUUCUUGUAGAGCUCACACUUUUAGCUCUGGAGGUCCUGGGUUCAAUCCAUGGUGUGUCAAACCACCACAUUUGCAAACAAAAUAAUUAAGAUUAUGCAGAACAAAACUGUUCCUGGUUUUUCAAAAAAGGAGGGGAUGUGAAAGACAUUAGCAUCCAAUCUCCCAAAUAUUGAAUUGAGAAUGAAAAUGGUGACAAGUCGUUGCAAAUAGUAAAGCUAGUAUGCGCACCAUUACACUGAAGAGGAAAAAGAAGGAAGACUGCCGCGAUUAGACGUCUGUAUAACCAGACGAACAGCCUGAAUUGUAGCAGGCACUGUUUACGAAAAUGAAACAAACACAGACCAGUUUGAUUCACAUGCCUCAAUAAGCGCAAAAACAUUUGUAACAAGGAGCCUUACAAACUGAGCAAUUAGUGCUAUGGAAACAUCCUGUGCCUUAUGAGCUCAAUAGGAUCGCAAACUCAGUGAAACGCAAUGAGCAUUCAGUCUCGCCUGGACACCAAAGCAGGCCAUGCUUUCAAUUCCCUAACAAGCAACAAUGGAAAAAUCAACAACCAACCAUGUCUGACAUUCCCACUACAGCUGGCAUCUGCAAAACAGGCCAAUAAAUGCUUGAGCAAAACUAUAUAAAAGCCAAAGAGAGAGGCCCAGCAAGACCAUUCUAAAAACUUUGAGAGUUUCACAUCAGACCAAUGCAAAAGGUUUACAGAAAAAUUGUGUUACAUUUUCGUAAGAAAAAGUAUAAAAAUAACAUCAGUAAUGGAUAUCCAGUUACUGGACUAUAUUGCUAGCAAGUAUAUCUAUCUAUCUAUUUAUAAGCACAUCUUACAAUAUUAUAGCAUUAUGUAAACCUGGGAGCCUCUUUCAUAUUGUUCUACUCAGAGGUGCGUUUAAUUUCAUGCAAUGGUCUAGUGCAGUGCUUCUCAAACUCUUUCAUACUAUUAAUCAUUUCUUAAGAUAAAGAUCAUCUUGAGGAUCACCUACCCACUUACAUCAGAUCCCCAUACCUCCCAGCAGCACCUAUAGUGCUGGAUUACAUGAAAAUGUGAUAAAGGCAAUCUUAAGGAGCCAGAGGAAAAUAAACUCACUUUCAUGCAAUAAGUGCAGCUGCUAGGUAAUAUCUCUGCAUUUUGUAUUUGUGCUGUUUAAUUCCUGUCCAUGGGUAUAGAGCUUUCCAUUUAUUACUACUGUUCUCUCCUCGUUACUUGCAAUUCCAACUGCUUUUGGUUCUAGCCUCCUAGUUUGGUGUCCUCUGCAGAUUUGAUCACAAUUGAAUGAACAGCAGUCACCCGCCAUAGAAAGACAUGAAGCAGCUGUAUAAAAGAAACUUGUUUUUUGCUGUUCUUUAUUAUAGGUUCAGUUAGUCAAAUAAAAGCUCAGAGUUCUAGAACAGACUACAAUUAGCAGCAACUAUCACUGGUUGAAGAGCGAUGUUUGCUUCACCUUAGUGACAGAAGUAAUGCUGCAGAUCACAUGGGAGUGCUCUGUGGAUCACCACUGGAGAGCCCAGCUACUGGUCUAAUAGAGCAGACUGCUGUAUGUCAGAACUUGUGGGUCCAACUCUCAACUCUCCCUCGCCGUGUGGCCUACACAUGUUUACCUACCACUCAGGGGUGUUAUGAGAAUUAAUUAAUUGGUUGAGAAGAGUUUUAAGAUCACAUAGUGAAAGGUUUUCAUAUAUGCUAAGUAUUAUAAAUCUAUCUCAGUUAAAUGCAAUCAGUUUACUAUUUAUCUGCCUUUAUUUCCAAACUAGCUUAUAGAUCCCAUGGUAAUCAUUACAU
Molecule: long non-coding RNA, 4188 nt
Organism: Chrysemys picta bellii (western painted turtle)
Lineage: Eukaryota; Metazoa; Chordata; Testudines; Emydidae
Source: RefSeq, a predicted model, not a curated record